AGUGAAUGCUGGCGGCAUGCUUUAUACAUGCAAGUCGAACGGAGAAGAAUUUUUUGUAGCAAUACAGAAAGUUUUUUUUAGUGGCGAACGGGUGAGUAAUAUAUAGGAACUUACUCAAUAGUGGGGGAUAACAGUUGGAAACGACUGCUAAUACCGCAUAUUCCCGAGAGGGGAAAGGUAUUUAUAUCGCUAUCGAAGAGGCUUAUAUCUGAUUAGCUAGUUGGUGAGAUAACUGCUUACCAAGGCAAUGAUCAGUAGCCGGUCUGAGAGGAUGAUCGGCCACAUUGGGACUGAGAUACGGCCCAAACUCCUACGGGAGGCAGCAGUAGGGAAUAUUGGACAAUGGACGAAAGUCUGAUCCAGCAAUGCCGCGUGAGUGAUGAAGGUGUUAUGCAUCGUAAAGCUCUCUUAACAGGGAAGAUAAUGACAGUACCUGUAGAAUAAGCACCGACUAACUAUGUGCCAGCAGCCGCGGUAAU
RNAcentral lists this ribosomal RNA (479 nucleotides) under uncultured bacterium. Its description in RNAcentral is "bacterial SSU rRNA". It matches the Rfam family "Bacterial small subunit ribosomal RNA", at positions 29 to 524 of the family's 1533-position model. The record is from RNAcentral.